CUUCCAGCAGCAGGAGUUACCUUUGGUACUGCCUUUCACAGGGGAUUGCAGAGCAGCAAUGACAGGUCACAGCCAUGCUCAGCUCUGGGACAGAGAGGGUCAAGGUCUAUCAAGAGGGCCUUACAGCUACUGAAGCCACAGUGAAAAUGCC
Cygnus olor (mute swan) is the source of this 151-nucleotide long non-coding RNA. RefSeq lists it as uncharacterized. The record is from RefSeq and is a predicted model, not a curated record. Lineage: Eukaryota; Metazoa; Chordata; Aves; Anseriformes; Anatidae. The transcript has 5 exons.